Molecule: ribosomal RNA, 497 nt
Filed under: uncultured bacterium
Lineage: Bacteria
Description: partial 16S ribosomal RNA
Rfam family: Bacterial small subunit ribosomal RNA
Source: RNAcentral
GAUGAACGCUGGCGGCGUGCCUAAUACAUGCAAGUCGAGCGAACGGACGAGAAGCUUGCUGCUCUGAUGUUAGCGGCGGACGGGUGAGUAACACGUGGAUAACCUACCUAUAAGACUGGGAUAACUUCGGGAAACCGGAGCUAAUACCGGAUAAUAUUUUGAACCGCAUGGUUCAAAAGUGAAAGACGGUCUUGCUGGCACGUAUAGAUGGAUCUGCGCUUCAUUAGCUAGUUGGUAAGUUAACGGCCUACGAAGGCUACGAUGCAUAGCCGACCUGAGAGGGUGAUCGGCCACACUGGAACUGAGACACGGUCCAGAGUCCUACGGGAGGCAGCAGUCGGGAAUCGUACGCAAUGGGCGAAAGCCUGACGGAGCAACGCCGAGUGAGUGAUGAAGGUGUUCGGAUCGUAAAACUCUGUUAUUAGUGAAGAACAUAUGUGUAAGUAGCUGUGCACAUCUUGACGGUACCUAAUAAGAAAGCCACGGCUAACUACGUG